GAUGAACGCUGGCGGCGUGCCUAAUACAUGCAAGUCGAGCGAACAGAUGAGGAGCUUGCUCCUCUGACGUUAGCGGCGGACGGGUGAGUAACACGUGGAUAACCUACCUAUAAGACUGGGAUAACUUCGGGAAACCGGAGCUAAUACCGGAUAAUAUUUUGAACCGCAUGGUUCAAUAGUGAAAGACGGUUUUGCUGUCACUUAUAGAUGGAUCCGCGCUGCAUUAGCUAGUUGGUAAGGUAACGGCUUACCAAGGCAACGAUGCAUAGCCGACCUGAGAGGGUGAUCGGCCACACUGGAACUGAGACACGGUCCAGACUCCUACGGGAGGCAGCAGUAGGGAAUCUUCCGCAAUGGGCGAAAGCCUGACGGAGCAACGCCGCGUGAGUGAUGAAGGUCUUCGGAUCGUAAAACUCUGUUAUUAGGGAAGAACAUAUGUGUAAGUAACUGUGCACAUCUUGACGGUACCUAAUCAGAAAGCCACGGCUAACUACGUG
This 497-nucleotide ribosomal RNA is filed under the name uncultured bacterium. RNAcentral describes it as "partial 16S ribosomal RNA". It matches the Rfam family "Bacterial small subunit ribosomal RNA", at positions 28 to 507 of the family's 1533-position model. The record is from RNAcentral.